CAAACGGCCCUUUUCGGGGCCACCACCAAAUAUAACUAAAACAUC
Non-coding RNA from Lasius niger, 45 nucleotides. The record is from Rfam. Lineage: Eukaryota; Metazoa; Arthropoda; Insecta; Hymenoptera; Formicidae.